GGUUUGAAUUACCGGACGGUUCUCCUCAGAGUUUGUUUAGUUGUUUGAUGACGGAUAUUCGAAAUACGUAUGGGAUUCUCUCUCUGUAGAUCAACGUGAGUGGCGCUCUCUCUCAUUCUCUGAAUAACGGGUCUCCCUCUCUCAGACAAAACAGCAAAAGCUUCUCUCCCUCUGAGACUGGUUCGCUCUUUGUCUCUACAUUCCUUCGCCUCCCUCAGCCCAUCCGCCCACCCACAAGUACAGGCUACACAGAUUUUGCCUGCUGCUGGAUUGCCUACAGCACACACGAGUCAAAACAGGCGAAAGCCCUCGAGGAAUUUCCAGAGGGCCGAAAAACCCUACAAGAAGGGCUCGAGGGGAAGUUUUUCAGUGGAGAAAAUAUUGGAUUUGUAGACAUCAUUGUAAAUUUUCUAAGCUUGUGGAUGGGAGCUCUAGGGGAAGCUGCAAAUAUAAUGUAUUAUGCUGCUGAGAAGACCCCACUUAUUCAUUCUUUGGAUUGAAGAGUUCAGAAGCGUUGAGGUUGUGAAGGAGAGCCUGCCUUCUCAUGAUAUGUUUAUUGCCUGUUUCAAAGGUUGCCGUGAGCAUGCUUGCUACCCCAACUUCCACCAAAUCAAGGGAAAUGGUUUAAUUUAAUUGUGUCGGUUGAAAUUAAAAAAUGUAUUAUGUACAAUAAAGAUUUGAGCUUUUCGAA
Amborella trichopoda is the source of this 691-nucleotide long non-coding RNA. RefSeq lists it as uncharacterized. NCBI's taxonomy places the organism in Eukaryota, Viridiplantae, Streptophyta, Magnoliopsida, Amborellales, Amborellaceae. The record is from RefSeq and is a predicted model, not a curated record.